RNAcentral lists this transfer RNA (61 nucleotides) under Nocticola sp. JW1 9/1. Its description in RNAcentral is "tRNA-Glu". Lineage: Eukaryota; Metazoa; Arthropoda; Insecta; Blattodea; Nocticolidae. The record is from RNAcentral.
ACUUAUAUAGUUUAAUAAAACAUUACAUUUUCACUGUAAAAUUAACUAAAAUUUUUAAGUA